RNAcentral lists this ribosomal RNA (1569 nucleotides) under Lactiplantibacillus plantarum. RNAcentral's name for it is "16S ribosomal RNA". It matches the Rfam family "Bacterial small subunit ribosomal RNA". Lineage: Bacteria; Bacillati; Bacillota; Bacilli; Lactobacillales; Lactobacillaceae. The record is from RNAcentral.
UAAUUUGAGAGUUUGAUCCUGGCUCAGGACGAACGCUGGCGGCGUGCCUAAUACAUGCAAGUCGAACGAACUCUGGUAUUGAUUGGUGCUUGCAUCAUGAUUUACAUUUGAGUGAGUGGCGAACUGGUGAGUAACACGUGGGAAACCUGCCCAGAAGCGGGGGAUAACACCUGGAAACAGAUGCUAAUACCGCAUACAACUUGGACCGCAUGGUCCGAGCUUGAAAGAUGGCUUCGGCUAUCACUUUUGGAUGGUCCCGCGGCGUAUUAGCUAGAUGGUGGGGUAACGGCUCACCAUGGCAAUGAUACGUAGCCGACCUGAGAGGGUAAUCGGCCACAUUGGGACUGAGACACGGCCCAAACUCCUACGGGAGGCAGCAGUAGGGAAUCUUCCACAAUGGACGAAAGUCUGAUGGAGCAACGCCGCGUGAGUGAAGAAGGGUUUCGGCUCGUAAAACUCUGUUGUUAAAGAAGAACAUAUCUGAGAGUAACUGUUCAGGUAUUGACGGUAUUUAACCAGAAAGCCACGGCUAACUACGUGCCAGCAGCCGCGCGUAAUACGUAGGUGGCAAGCGUUGUCCGGAUUUAUUGGGCGUAAAGCGAGCGCAGGCGGUUUUUUAAGUCUGAUGUGAAAGCCUUCGGCUCAACCGAAGAAGUGUGCAUCGGAAACUGGGAAACUUGAGUGCAGAAGAGGACAGUGGAACUCCAUGUGUAGCGGUGAAAUGCGUAGAUAUAUGGAAGAACACCAGUGGCGAAGGCGGCUGUCUGGUCUGUAACUGACGCUGAGGCUCGAAAGUAUGGGUAGCAAACAGGAUUAGAUACCCUGGUAGUCCAUACCGUAAACGAUGAAUGCUAAGUGUUGGAGGGUUUCCGCCCUUCAGUGCUGCAGCUAACGCAUUAAGCAUUCCGCCUGGGGAGUACGGCCGCAAGGCUGAAACUCAAAGGAAUUGACGGGGGCCCACAAGCGGUGGAGCAUGUGGUUUAAUUCGAAGCUACGCGAAGAACCUUACCAGGUCUUGACAUACUAUGCAAAUCUAAGAGAUUAGACGUUCCCUUCGGGGACAUGGAUACAGGUGGUGCAUGGUUGUCGUCAGCUCGUGUCGUGAGAUGUUGGGUUAAGUCCCGCAACGAGCGCAACCCUUAUUAUCAGUUGCCAGCAUUAAGUUGGGCACUCUCUGGUGAGACUGCCGGUGACAAACCGGAGGAAGGUGGGGAUGACGUCAAAUCAUCAUGCCCCUUAUGACCUGGGCUACACACGUGCUACAAUGGAUGGUACAACGAGUUGCGAACUCGCGAGAGUAAGCUAAUCUCUUAAAGCCAUUCUCAGUUCGGAUUGUAGGCUGCAACUCGCCUACAUGAAGUCGGAAUCGCUAGUAAUCGCGGAUCAGCAUGCCGCGGUGAAUACGUUCCCGGGCCUUGUACACACCGCCCGUCACACCAUGAGAGUUUGUAACACCCAAAGUCGGUGGGGUAACCUUUUAGGAACCAGCCGCCUAAGGUGGGACAGAUGAUUAGGGUGAAGUCGUAACAAGGUAGCCGUAGGAGAACCUGCGGCUGGAUCACCUCCUUU